UGGGGGAUAUUGCACAAUGGGGGGAACCCUGAUGCAGCGACGCCGCGUGGGUGAAGGAGUGCUUCGGCAUGUAAAGCCCUAUCGGCAGGGAAGAAUAUGACGGUACCUGACUAAGAAGCCCCGGCUAACUACGUGCCAGCAGCCGCGGUAAUACGUAGGGGGCGAGCGUUAUCCGGAUUCACUGGGUGUAAAGGGAGCGUAGACGGCCAUGCAAGCCAGGGGUGAAAGCCCGGGGCCCAACCCCGGGACUGCCCUUGGAACUGUCAGGCUAGAGUGCGGGAGGGGCAGGCGGAAUUCCUGGUG
RNAcentral lists this ribosomal RNA (303 nucleotides) under uncultured bacterium. RNAcentral's name for it is "bacterial SSU rRNA". It matches the Rfam family "Bacterial small subunit ribosomal RNA", at positions 355 to 675 of the family's 1533-position model. The record is from RNAcentral.